RNAcentral lists this small RNA (714 nucleotides) under Pongo abelii (Sumatran orangutan). RNAcentral describes it as "retained intron". Lineage: Eukaryota; Metazoa; Chordata; Mammalia; Primates; Hominidae. The record is from RNAcentral.
UGUAUUUUAGAUGGACCAGUCUUACAAACCAGAUGAAAAUGAAGUUCGAACUCUCUUUGGUCUUCAUUUAAGCCAGAAGAGAAAUAAUGGUGUCGUCGACAAGUCAUUAUUUAGCAAUGUUGUUACCAAGAAUAAAGAUUUGCCAGAGUCUGCCCUCCGAGACCUCAUUGUAGCCACCAUUGCUGUCAAGUACACUCAGUCUAACUCUGUGUGCUACGCCAAGAACGGGCAGGUUAUCGGCAUUGGAGCAGGACAGCAGUCUCGUAUACACUGCACUCGCCUUGCAGGAGAUAAGGCAAACUAUUGGUGGCUUAGACACCAUCCACAAGUGCUUUCGAUGAAGUUUAAAACAGGAGUGAAGAGAGCAGAAAUCUCCAAUGCCAUCGAUCAGUACGUGACUGGAACCAUUGGCGAGGUGAAAGACUUGGCAUUGGGUUCUGGGCUGUGUUAAUAUUCAGUUCAUCCCUUUAUGUGUAACAGAUUUUAACUUCAUCACCACACAGAGAAAAAGAUACUUUCAUUGAAAUUCUAUGUUGUCUAAAAUUGAUCAUUGAAACUUCUUACACAUUUCUCAUGUUCUUCUGUCUCACGUAACUUUCUUCCUUGUUUUUGACCCCUUUCUGAAACCACAGACCUCUGUCUUUUUAAGUUGCAGCCUUGGUGUAGGUUUGCAUGUUUGUACUUCCCCUGUUGAUUAUAAGCUUUUGAUGACAA